UACGAAGGGGGCUAGCGUUGCUCGGAAUCACUGGGCGUAAAGGGUGCGUAGGCGGCUUAUUAAGUCAGCGGUGAAAGACCAGGGCUCAACCCUGGAACUGCCAUUGAUACUGAUAAGCUUGAGUAAAGUUGAGGUAGGCGGAAUUGACGGUGUAGCGGUGAAAUGCUUAGAUAUCGUCAAGAACACCGAUUGCGUAGGCAGCUUACUAAGCUUUAACUGACGCUGAGGCACGAAGGCCAGGGGAGCAAACGGG
This 253-nucleotide ribosomal RNA is filed under the name uncultured bacterium. RNAcentral's name for it is "partial 16S ribosomal RNA". It matches the Rfam family "Bacterial small subunit ribosomal RNA", at positions 524 to 776 of the family's 1533-position model. The record is from RNAcentral.